This 253-nucleotide ribosomal RNA is filed under the name uncultured bacterium. RNAcentral describes it as "partial 16S ribosomal RNA". It matches the Rfam family "Bacterial small subunit ribosomal RNA", at positions 524 to 776 of the family's 1533-position model. The record is from RNAcentral.
UACGGAGGGGGCAAGCGUUGUUCGGAAUUACUGGGCGUAAAGGGCGCGCAGGCGGCUGCUCAAGUCAGGCGUGAAAGCCUCCGGCUCAACCGGAGGAGGCCACUGGAGACUGGCGUGCUCGAGGUGGGUAGGGGUCGGUGGAAUUCCCGGUGUAGUGGUGAAAUGCGUAGAUAUCGGGAGGAAUACCAGCGGCGAAGGCGGCCUUCUGGACGGUGACUGACGCUGAGACGCGAAAGCGUGGGGAGCAAACAGG